Molecule: non-coding RNA, 89 nt
Organism: Ataeniobius toweri
Lineage: Eukaryota; Metazoa; Chordata; Actinopteri; Cyprinodontiformes; Goodeidae
Source: the annotation of a GenBank genome assembly
GCGCUGGUGGCGUAGGGGUUAAUUGCGUGUUUAGAGGCUACAGUCCUCGAGGCGGCUGUCCUGGGCUCGAGUCCCAGAGCCAGAGACCU